AGGGUGUAAACGCUGCAGACUUGGUGUUGGGAACCCUUCGGGGGUGCUCAGUGCCGGAGAGAAGUUGUUAAGUCUGCUACUUGGGAGUACGUCCGCAAGGAUGAAACUUAAAGGAAUUGGCGGGGGAGGCACCGCAACGGGAGGAGCGUGCGGUUUAAUUGGAUUCAACGCCGAAAAACUCACCAGCAGCGACUGUUACAUGAAAGUCAGGUUGAUGACCUUACUAGAUUUUCAGAGAGGUGGUGCAUGGCGUCAGUGACU
Molecule: ribosomal RNA, 261 nt
Filed under: uncultured archaeon
Lineage: Archaea
Description: partial 16S ribosomal RNA
Rfam family: Archaeal small subunit ribosomal RNA
Source: RNAcentral